RNAcentral lists this transfer RNA (64 nucleotides) under Galeruca luctuosa. RNAcentral's name for it is "tRNA-Asn". The record is from RNAcentral. RNAcentral also lists the same sequence under 1 other name. Lineage: Eukaryota; Metazoa; Arthropoda; Insecta; Coleoptera; Chrysomelidae.
UUAAUUGAAACCAAAUAGCGGUUUAUCACUGUUAAUGAUAACAAUGAGUAAAACUCCAAUUAAA